CUAACCCUCUCGGAUGAGGGCGGUCUUGAGCCGCGCCUCCUCCGCUCCCUCAAUCCAACGGCUGGUGGGUGACGUCAUGCCGCAAGGGGAUCUCGAAAUUCGCCGCGCCCGGUCCAGUGUGUUUUGAAGACGUAGCUUUUCGUUUCACACACAAGGACUGGGCGUUGCUGGAUCCUGACCAGAGAGCUCUGCAGGAGGAAGUCAAGGGGGUGAAGUGUGGGAUCCUGGACUCUCUGGACCCUGCAGCUUCUUUUGGCUCCUUGACUCCUCAGGAAGGAUGAAAGAGACAGAUCCUGCAAAGCUAGCGAGGAUGGAAGGAGGAAGAUGGACGGUUGACCUGGUCAGGUUGUCUCCUGCAUCCCUCCCCACAACCUCUGAGCGUUCCCUCCCA
This is a non-coding RNA of Podarcis muralis (Common wall lizard), 391 nucleotides long. NCBI's taxonomy places the organism in Eukaryota, Metazoa, Chordata, Lepidosauria, Squamata, Lacertidae. The record is from RefSeq and is a predicted model, not a curated record.